RNAcentral lists this ribosomal RNA (577 nucleotides) under uncultured Phoma. Its description in RNAcentral is "eukaryotic LSU rRNA". The stretch from base 208 to 361 matches the Rfam family "5.8S ribosomal RNA". Lineage: Eukaryota; Fungi; Ascomycota. The record is from RNAcentral.
CUUGGUCAUUUAGAGGAAGUAAAAGUCGUAACAAGGUUUCCGUAGGUGAACCUGCGGAAGGAUCAUUACCUAGAGUUGUAGGCUUUGCCUGCUAUCUCUUACCCAUGUCUUUUGAGUACUUACGUUUCCUCGGCGGGUCCGCCCGCCGAUUGGACAAUUUAAACCAUUUGCAGUUGCAAUCAGCGUCUGAAAAACUUUAAUAGUUACAACUUUCAACAACGGAUCUCUUGGUUCUGGCAUCGAUGAAGAACGCAGCGAAAUGCGAUAAGUAGUGUGAAUUGCAGAAUUCAGUGAAUCAUCGAAUCUUUGAACGCACAUUGCGCCCCUUGGUAUUCCAUGGGGCAUGCCUGUUCGAGCGUCAUUUGUACCUUCAAGCUUUGCUUGGUGUUGGGUGUUUGUCUCGCCUCUGCGUGUAGACUCGCCUUAAAACAAUUGGCAGCCGGCGUAUUGAUUUCGGAGCGCAGUACAUCUCGCGCUUUGCACUCAUAACGACGACGUCCAAAAGUACAUUUUUACACUCUUGACCUCGGAUCAGGUAGGGAUACCCGCUGAACUUAAGCAUAUCAAUAAGCGGAGG